CUAAAUUCUAAAUCAAAAUACAUAUCUGAUAUGACUUAAUAUAUAAUUAGCAUAAAACAAACAAUAUAAUUCACAUUCUCAAGGAUUAAAGAUUAAAUGGAAAAAAAAUAAAAAUGAUUGCACAGCCAUCAGUUAGGUGGCGAUAUGUACUAAGCAUGUAAACAACUAAUGAACAAAAGAAGAAGAAAGAAACAGCUUGGCGCGCUUUUUCUUUGCUUCCGUUUCUUUAGUGACUCAUCCGAUUCAUCGCUCUGUUGAGAAUGUCUCGUUUAGUUCACGGGACAUUAUUGUUUGCUGGUACUGGAAUCUGCCUGUUUGACCACUCUCUAUAAUAAAGCCUGCAUUUGGAUCCUCAACUCUAUUGUCACGAUCCCUCCAUCGUAACAGAAUAAUCAGCCGAACAAGGAUCCAGCGGCUUUCCUGAACGACACUGGGCAGGUCACCGUAGCCACCAGAUCCAGUCUGUAUCCAGAUCACAUGGUGGAUCAGCACCUAGACAAACUCUUGACAGCCCUGGAUGUCAGCGGAGACCAGGACAACUAUGAGCCCCAGAGACAGAUCCUCUUCACCAAGACAGCCAUCGGGACAAGACCACAGGAACCAGACCAGUCCUCUGCACAAUCUGAUCUGUGUUGAAGCCUGCAAUUAAACUGCUGGGUUCGUCUGUUCAGAGAAGAACGAUGGAGUUUUGGUUCCUUCGACACACAAUUUUUCUGUUUAAUACUGUAAAGCUGUAGUGUAAAUACAGUGACUGGACUUGACUCCAGUUGAAAUGUAACACCUGGUUCAUUUAUUUUUUUCUGCCUUCUGCCUCAUUUUAAAGAUGUAAUUGUGAACAGUAUUAAUAUUUUUUUAAAUAUUUGUUUGCAAACAUUUUUUU
Molecule: long non-coding RNA, 880 nt
Organism: Cyprinus carpio carpio
Lineage: Eukaryota; Metazoa; Chordata; Actinopteri; Cypriniformes; Cyprinidae
Source: Ensembl